RNAcentral lists this ribosomal RNA (253 nucleotides) under uncultured bacterium. Its description in RNAcentral is "partial 16S ribosomal RNA". It matches the Rfam family "Bacterial small subunit ribosomal RNA", at positions 524 to 776 of the family's 1533-position model. The record is from RNAcentral.
UACGUAGGGGGCAGGCGUUGUCCGGAUUUACUGGGCGUAAAGCGCUCGCAGGUGGUUCGUCGCGUCGUGCGUGAAAGACCCCGGCUCAACUGGGGAGUGUCGUGCGAUACGGGCGGACUGGAGGCCAGUAGGGGGAUGCGGAAUUCCGGGUGUAGUGGUGGAAUGCGUAGAGAUCCGGAGGAACACCAGCGGCGAAGGCGGCAUCCUGGACUGGUCCUGACACUCAGGAGCGAAAGCGUGGGGAGCGAUCCGG